CAACGGCAGAGUAACCUGCCCAGGUUAAAAACUCUUAUACAGUGACUUUAAACGAACGAAUGUUAUAAGGUAAACUGGUUCUUGGUUCUUGUAGUGCUACGGAACUCCUUCUCGACGACUACUAACUACACAACUCGCAAAACGUGUAGGCUGGCUGCCGAAGGAUUCAGAAAUUAUAAUAUCUCAGUAUAUAUCUGGAAAAUUUGGUCACUGAAUUUUAUUGGGAUAUUUAAUCCUCCGCCAAACUUCAUGCCCUACACCUAUACAGGCCUGUUGAAAGUGAUUUAAUAUUCGUACCG
RNAcentral lists this unclassified non-coding RNA (299 nucleotides) under Athalia rosae (coleseed sawfly). RNAcentral describes it as "misc RNA ENSAEAG00005011253.1". The record is from RNAcentral. Lineage: Eukaryota; Metazoa; Arthropoda; Insecta; Hymenoptera; Athaliidae.